RNAcentral lists this long non-coding RNA (769 nucleotides) under Chinchilla lanigera (long-tailed chinchilla). RNAcentral's name for it is "lncRNA (ENSCLAG00000023839.1)". The record is from RNAcentral. Lineage: Eukaryota; Metazoa; Chordata; Mammalia; Rodentia; Chinchillidae.
GUAUGGCUUUUUGAGCUGUCAAGGCUGCUGAUGACUCCACAGAAGGGAGCUGGUUUACCAACCGAGACUUGGUGGGUUGUGACUGUUCUACUGUAUGCUACCUGUUUGCAGAGAGUUGAUUCUCCUGCAUUUCUGGGCUGGAGGAGGAACUACUGUUGAGGGAACAUUGGUUUCAUGCUGCAUAAAUACAUACACACUGAGGCUCAAACUCAGGGUGUUGCUCACACUAACACCGUCACUGAGCUUCUUCUCCAGCCUUGGGUCUACAUCUUUACAGAAACAGUUCCUUGGCCAUGCAGUCCUAGGGUACGGAAGUGUUCUGACUUUAUGUCCUGGAGUUGAGAGGCCUUCAAGGGUGGCACUGGCUGUGCCUGGCCUGGAAAAAUUAUUCGCAGACUCCACAGUGGAAGGAAAGAUACUUGUGAGCAGUGGGAAUGCACUGAGGAGUAGUCAGGCUUUUGGCUGAAGCUGCUUAGCUGUGUGACCUCGCAAUGGAAGAAGAGGAGCCUGGCUUGUCUCCCGCUUAACAACCCCCUUCCAUUUGUUAGGUUAAGGACUGGACCCUGAGCCUCAUGGAUGCUAGGAUGUGGUGUACUCCCCAGCCCUCUCUUAACCGUUUCUGUGGAUCUUGUACCUCCUUCCUUCUCCUAAUUGGUUUACACAGAAAUGCAUAUAAGAUUUUUUCCCCAAUAAGUUUUUCCAUUACUAACUUUAAAGUGGGUAUAGGCAACUGUAUCCUUCCUCAGACACGCUUCUAUAUAAAUAAAAG